CAGACUCUCUACUUAGUGCGUUGGAGAGAGGACUGAGGCUCACACUAUCAGCACAGCUUCUCAAUGGGGGGACGCAGCCAAGAGCAGACAGAAUAGUCAUUCCAUUGGAGCCUUCCGCCGCACGCGUGAAAAGGAGUCGACAAGUGAGGGGGGGUAAAUUAGCUCCCUGUCAUCACAACAUAGGAGUUCUACUGACGGAGGAGAGGCACAGACUGAACGGAGGAGAGGACAGGAGAUCUUGUACGUAUAUGGCAGAGACAACAGUGACAUGAUCAACCUGCCAUCAACUCAGCUCCUAGUCAGUUUGUGACACAGACCUCUGGGUGUUUUUGGUGACUGUGUUGCCCGACGAUUUCAAAAGGAACUCUGCAGCGUGGGUCCAGAAGAGAGAAUAGUGUGGAAGGAAAAACAACACAGAAUUUUAGCCCCUUUUGUGCUGGUGAUCGGCUUAUCUGGUACUGGAAUUUCUUGCGGGAGUCCCUGGCUUCAAAGUAUGGAUGGAUUUAAGACGGAGGAGUGAGUCUGCUUGGCAGGGAGGCAGUGAUUCUGACUGAGCUCAGACUCAGCCUUACCAUGUCCUGGUUGUUGGCCAUGUGGAUUAGCCUCGGCUUCCUGCUGUUGUGCCAGGCCACACUCUACCAGACCAUCCAGCAGCACCAUGUAGCCCGGCCCGGCCGCACCGACAUUCUCACCCUGGAGGGAGGUACGUGCGAGGUGAUUGCCGCCCACCGAUGCUGUAACAAGAAUCGUAUUGAGGAGCGUUCUCAGACAGUCAAGUGCUCCUGUUUACCGGGGAAAGUGGCCGGGACGACACGCAACAAACCCUCCUGUGUGGAUGCGUCCAUUGUAAUUGGGAAAUGGUGGUGCGAGAUGGAGCCGUGUCUGGAGGGAGAAGAGUGUAAGACUCUGCCUGACAACUCUGGAUGGAUGUGCUCCUCCGGGAACAAAAUCAAGACCACAAGAAACACCCAGCCAUACUCCCCUUUUUAGCUUCCGGAAGCAAAAUGCAGAGGAUGGGUCAACAGAAAUUGAGCUGCAUUCUUGCUUCUGUAAAGAUUCAUCCCAGGACCUAACAGAGAGCUCCCAUUGCAGGGCUGCGUGCCAGGCUCUUCCCUUCAUCUACCCUUUCUCUUCCCACCGAACGGACUAAAACUAUUACAACCACGGCUACUGACUGGAUUACCUGGGACCACAUAAAGGAUAUCCAUCCAGAUAAAACAGCUUUGCUUGCGUGGUGCCAAGGAUUUGAAACCAGACUAAUCCCCUGUUUGAUCAAUGAGCCCCAUGUUGGUGACUCUCCACUUCCACACAGCUGUGGCCAGUUUCCGACCUUCUCUCUCUCUUUUUCCCCUCACUCGUCUCCCCCUCAGAAACUGAAACAGCUUAGCAGGGGUUAUUUAGAGGUUGUUAAAACAUUAUUUGAAGACAUUUGCCCUGCCUGAAGGUAAACCAGUUUAUGAGCUUACAUGGACCUGAACAUGGAAUCCACAGAACUGAGAGCAAGUGGAGGGAAAUAACCUUGGUAUACCUUUAUUUCUGUGUGGAAGGCAUUCGUAUUUGACUCGCCACCCAAGCAGGAUAGUCUUGCUGCGGCAACACUGAGGAGGUUUGGUUGGGAAACACUUUCAGUGACGGAGACCAGCAGCCUAUAAUGAGUUAUGAGAAGAAUCUUUGAGAGGCUGUAGGCCCCACAUGGCCUCUCCUUUAUCCUUCUUGAUGAACAUUUAUUCGUGUGUCUGCCCAAUGUAAAUUCAUGAGCACUUCUUUUCUUUGUAUGUAAGAUAAUUUGUGUAUACAUAUAUAAAUACAUCAUAUAUAAGAUGACAGAUCCAAGAAGCUGAAAAAUAUAUUUAAGACUCUAUUAGGAGCUUGAGCCCCUUGGUGGAAUAUUGAUCAGCCUCUGAAUAUAAGUACAGUUCAUACUUCUCCAGAGGCUGCUGUGUAUAGGACUGCUUUGCAGUAUACGCUUGCUUUGGGAAAAGGCACAACAGAGUCAUAAAAGUAAGCUUUCGUCAUCCAGCUAUGUCCUUGGUUAAGCCAGUUAAUGCUUGUAGUUUCUGUAAAGAUGAGGAAAACACUGUACAGAACUGCCUCACAAAAGAAAGCAGCACUAACAACAACCCCUGAGCGUUCCACUCAGAUCCUGUAGGGACAUAGAACAGCCGCAGACAAACUUGGACCUUAAUCGGACAGUUAGUGUCCAUUUCAACUCCGGAAAGUGGUCAUGGGCGACUGCUUGACUGUGUUUGUCGUAUAGAUCUCCCUCUCAGACACCAGAGAGAGAGAGGAUUUAUUCAAAAUGACAGAGAGAAAGUAUUAGUCACAAUGGAGAAACAUAUCCCCCAGUAGAUAUACAAGUACAUUACAGGACAGCCUUAUGAGAAAUAAAAAUGGUUUUCUAUACUGA
Molecule: RNA transcript, 2407 nt
Organism: Cottoperca gobio
Lineage: Eukaryota; Metazoa; Chordata; Actinopteri; Perciformes; Bovichtidae
Gene: tafa1b
Gene name: TAFA chemokine like family member 1b
Exons: 6
Source: RefSeq, a predicted model, not a curated record